This 773-nucleotide long non-coding RNA is filed under the name Podarcis lilfordi (Lilford's wall lizard). The record is from RNAcentral. Lineage: Eukaryota; Metazoa; Chordata; Lepidosauria; Squamata; Lacertidae.
CACCCCACGCAGGGAGGGAGAAGAACCUAGAACAAUGGUGUACAAGCUCUUAUCCAAGGAUCUGUAUUUGUUAACUAAUAGCCGUACCCCAGCCAAAUGUUGGUUCCCUCAGUGCUUAAGGCAGUAGUUAAAUCUGAGCUUGAUGUGCCUAUACACUCUAAAAAAACACCUGCCUUAGCUGACAAAUUAUAUGACUUGGAUCCUGAAUCAUGGAAUAUAUUAAGACUCCUACUAUAGACAGACCAGUUUUAAAUCUGUCAUUGUGACAUCUGGUCCCCAAGGAAGGAAAUGCUCAACUUCUGGACCCUACUGAUAGGAGAAUCGAAUUUGCCUUAUGCAAGACCCAUGAUGCAACGGCCCUCUCUAUGAGAGCUGCCUGCGUAGCAUCCUCACGCGCUCGAGCUUGAGGACUUGUUGCAAUCUCCUCCCCAAGAUCCAGCUCGACAGCACCAGAUUCUGACCAAACUCCUUAAAGCUCGAGCUUUUAUGGGAGACGCCUCCAUGGACCCCAUGCUGUUUGCAGCUGAAGCAAUGACAUCCUAGGUAGCUGCUAGGCGCACCCUGUGGCUAAAGCCCUGGGACGCUGAUGCUGCCUCUAAAGUAAACCUUUCCGCUGAACCUUUUUCAGGCGGUCAGCCGGAAUGGAGAAGCUACUGAGAGGGCCUGAAGCUCUGACAUCCACAGUCGGUGGGGCCAAAAAGAAGGGAGCAGAACCACCUCUGUCUUUUCCUGUCUGAUCUUGCGAAGGGCCGUGGAAGGAUGGAUUGAGGUGG